RNAcentral lists this ribosomal RNA (980 nucleotides) under uncultured bacterium. RNAcentral describes it as "bacterial SSU rRNA". It matches the Rfam family "Bacterial small subunit ribosomal RNA", at positions 521 to 1502 of the family's 1533-position model. The record is from RNAcentral.
UAAUACGGAGGGUGCGAGCGUUAAUCGGAAUUACUGGGCGUAAAGCGCACGCAGGCGGCUUGUUAAGCUAGAGGUGAAAGCCCCGCGCUCAACGUGGGAACUGCCUUUAGAACUGGCAGGCUAGAGUCUUGGAGAGGGGAGUGGAAUUCCAGGUGUAGCGGUGAAAUGCGUAGAUAUCUGGAGGAACAUCAGUGGCGAAGGCGGCUCCCUGGCCAAAGACUGACGCUCAUGUGCGAAAGUGUGGGUAGCGAACAGGAUUAGAUACCCUGGUAGUCCACACCGUAAACGCUGUCUACUAGCUGUUUGUGUAUUUAAUACGUGAGUAGCGAAGCUAACGCGCUAAGUAGACCGCCUGGGGAGUACGGCCGCAAGGUUAAAACUCAAAUGAAUUGACGGGGGCCCGCACAAGCGGUGGAGCAUGUGGUUUAAUUCGAUGCAACGCGAAGAACCUUACCUACUCUUGACAUCCAGGAAAUUUUUCAGAGAUGAAUUAGUGCCUUCGGGAAUCCUGAGACAGGUGCUGCAUGGCUGUCGUCAGCUCGUGUCGUGAGAUGUUGGGUUAAGUCCCGCAACGAGCGCAACCCUUGUCCUUAGUUGCCAGCAUUAAGUUGGGCACUCUAAGGAGACUGCCGGUGACAAACCGGAGGAAGGUGGGGACGACGUCAAGUCAUCAUGGCCCUUACGAGUAGGGCUACACACGUGCUACAAUGGCAAGUACAGAGGGAAGCGAGACGGUGACGUGGAGCGGACCCCUUAAAGCUUGUCGUAGUCCGGAUUGAAGUCUGCAACUCGACUUCAUGAAGUCGGAAUCGCUAGUAAUCGCAGGUCAGCAUACUGCGGUGAAUACGUUCCCGGGCCUUGUACACACCGCCCGUCACACCAUGGGAGUGGGAUGCAAAAGAAGUAGUUAGUCUAACCUUCGGGAGGACGAUUACCACUUUGUGUUUCAUGACUGGGGUGAAGUCGUAACAAGGUAGCCG